This 79-nucleotide transfer RNA is filed under the name Wolfiporia cocos MD-104 SS10. RNAcentral's name for it is "Wolfiporia cocos (strain MD-104) (brown rot fungus) tRNA". It matches the Rfam family "tRNA". Rfam says of the family: Transfer RNA (tRNA) molecules are approximately 80 nucleotides in length. Lineage: Eukaryota; Fungi; Basidiomycota; Agaricomycetes; Polyporales; Phaeolaceae. The record is from Rfam by way of RNAcentral.
ACACUGAUGGUGAAACGGUAUCAUGCUUGCCUUCCACUUGCGUGAGCAAGCGGCGUGGGUUCGACUCCCGCUCAGUGUA